UUACAAGAAAUGCCUAACUGUGUUAUGGUUCCUAUUUGUUGUUACUCUGAGUUUUCUGUUAUCAGUUGUUUUGUUUUUAUUUUCCAUUAUCUUCAAGCAUUCUUUAGUUACUCUCUGUUGCCCCCUUGUGAUUGUUUUCUUUUCCCUUGGAUUCCCUCUUGCCAGUUCCACCCACACCUGCUCCCCAUUCAGCUCGUUAGUCCUUCCUUUGUUUGGUUGUCCUUAAAUACUCCACCUCUGCAGUCACUCAGUGCUGGUUCCUUCUUGUUGCUGUGUUGUCUACUCGG
Molecule: long non-coding RNA, 287 nt
Organism: Cyprinodon tularosa
Lineage: Eukaryota; Metazoa; Chordata; Actinopteri; Cyprinodontiformes; Cyprinodontidae
Exons: 3
Source: RefSeq, a predicted model, not a curated record